Molecule: RNA transcript, 683 nt
Organism: Fragaria vesca subsp. vesca
Lineage: Eukaryota; Viridiplantae; Streptophyta; Magnoliopsida; Rosales; Rosaceae
Exons: 5
Source: RefSeq, a predicted model, not a curated record
CUGUCUGUGUACUGUCCCCCUGGAUUCUGUAUUAAGACGGGUUUCUCUGCGUGGACGAAAGCAGAACGAUUCUGUUACUUCAUAUCAGCCGUCGGAGCAGAAUUCAAAAUCUUGCGCAAGCUGUGGGUUUUUCCAGAAAAUACCGCCCUGAGUCGUCGGUUUCCGAUAUAGAUCCAGAAACUGAAAUUCAGUGCAUCGGAGUCGCGUUCCAGAAAUCGGCAACCGGUCUGAUCAUCCAUGGAAGAAACCGGUACGGGCAGGAAGAAACGUGAGUCUGAGCAUGCGACGAAGUCCGAAACAAGGAAGAGAGCCUGUAAGGAAGGUUUGGAAAGACACGGAGGAUCCGGAAGUGAGGAUAUGAUGGGAGGAAUGAAUUGGAAUUGGAGAAACACAGACUUGUUAUAUGAUGAUAAGAAGCUGGGUGAAGAAGAGUGGUUAAGGGGAGGGGUUUUCCAGCUAGAGGACAAGCAUAUUGAUAAGAGGAACAAAGCAUUGGAUGGGAUCCAGAUCCUCUCAUAAUGAACCUCUGCUAAUACUUCCUAAUAAGAAGAUCUAGACCGUUUAUUUUCAAUAGACGGUUAAGAUCUCUCAUACUCUUAACUCAAGGCUAUUUCUCAUCUAUUCUCUUAUUUCUGUCUCGACUCUCUCUCAAAUUCUCGUCCCAUUCUCUCUCUCUCUCUCUC